This is a long non-coding RNA of Pezoporus occidentalis (night parrot), 531 nucleotides long. RefSeq lists it as uncharacterized. NCBI's taxonomy places the organism in Eukaryota, Metazoa, Chordata, Aves, Psittaciformes, Psittacidae. The transcript is spliced from 2 exons. The record is from RefSeq and is a predicted model, not a curated record.
AGCUACAGCAGCCAGCUUACCUGUCAGCUGAAAGAGCAGUGAGAGUAAAGACUGACACCCCUACAGAGGUGAGCUGUAUGAAGGGGAUAAGUUUGCAUCCAGUUCUGCCGAACAGCCACUCAUCAGCAAGCACCUGUGCUUGCCAGCUGGAUUUAAAGUGAGGAAAAAGCAGGGUUCCGCUGGCAGCUCGGAUCCUAUAGGCGGGAUCUUCUGGACGUCAAUUCUUCCCCUGCUUCCCAGGAUGAGAGCAGGCUUACUGAAAUGACUGCGGUAAUUCCAGGCGAGCGCCGGAGAAUGCCAGCCACCUGCCGGAGAGUCUAAUCACUGCCGGGGAGCGGGGGGAUAGAAAACACACCAAAAUCACUGUUAACUCUUUAGAGGGUAAAAAAGGAAAUAAUAAUUAAAAAAUCUGCUCAUUUAUAGCUCCUGAGGUGAAGUUCACUGCUUCUCUCCCCCCCCCCCCCAAAAAAAAAAGAAAAGAAAAAGAAAGGAAAUAACUAGCUCAUACUGCAAAUAAUGUGAUCAUAAAAG